AGAGUUUGAUCAUGGCUCAGGACGAACGCUGCGGCAUGCCUUAAUACAUGCAAGUCGAGCGAACAAAGAAGAAACUUGUUUCUUCUUUGUUAGCGGCGGAUGGGUGAGUAACACGUGGGCAACCUGCCCUGCAGAUGGGGAUAACUCCGGGAAACCGGGGCUAAUACCGAAUAAUCAGUUUGUUCGCAUGAACAAACCCUGAAAGACGGCUUACGCUGUCACUGCAGGAUGGGCCCGCGGCGCGUUAGCUAGUUGGUGGGAUAACGGCCUACCAAGGCGACGACGCGUAGCCGACCUGAGAGGGUGAUCGGCCACACUGGGACUGAGACACGGCCCAGACUCCUACGGGAGGCAGCAGUAAGGAAUCUUCCACAAUGGACGAAAGUCUGAUGGAGCAAUGCCGCGUGAGUGAAGAAGGUUUUCGGAUCGUAAAACUCUGUUGUGAGGGAUGAACAAGUACGCGAGUAACUGUCCGUCCUUGACGGUACCUCAUUAGAAAGCCACGGCUAACUACGUGCCAGCAGCUUGCGGUAAUACGAAAGGGGGCUAAGCGUUGCUCGGAAUCACUG
This 569-nucleotide ribosomal RNA is filed under the name uncultured Bacilli bacterium. Its description in RNAcentral is "bacterial SSU rRNA". It matches the Rfam family "Bacterial small subunit ribosomal RNA", at positions 8 to 556 of the family's 1533-position model. The record is from RNAcentral. Lineage: Bacteria; Bacillati; Bacillota; Bacilli.